UACAGAGGGGGCAAGCGUUAUUCGGAAUUAUUGGGCGUAAAGGGCGCGUAGGCGGCGAUUCAAGUGACGGGUGAAAUCCCUCGGCUUAACCGAGGAACUGCCUGUCAGACUGGAUUGCUUGAGGCCGGGAGAGGCGAGUGGAAUUCCCGGUGUAGCGGUGAAAUGCGCAGAUAUCGGGAAGAACACCCGUGGCGAAGGCGGCUCUCUGGGACGGUACUGACGCUGAGACGCGAAAGCGUGGGGAGCGAACAGG
RNAcentral lists this ribosomal RNA (253 nucleotides) under uncultured bacterium. RNAcentral's name for it is "partial 16S ribosomal RNA". It matches the Rfam family "Bacterial small subunit ribosomal RNA", at positions 524 to 776 of the family's 1533-position model. The record is from RNAcentral.